Molecule: ribosomal RNA, 444 nt
Filed under: Triticum aestivum (bread wheat)
Lineage: Eukaryota; Viridiplantae; Streptophyta; Magnoliopsida; Poales; Poaceae
Description: partial small subunit ribosomal RNA
Source: RNAcentral
AUGGUGAGGCUGGGGCCUCUCGCCGCGCAGCACUCGGGAGCGUUCGCCCGCGACCUGGGGCUGGGGAGCCCCGCGGCGCUCGUGGCCUUCGCGGUCGUCGCGACGGUGGCGGUGGCGGCCGUGGCGGCCUUCGGCUGCGCCAAGGGGGCCAAGAAGCCGCGCCGGCAGGACAACAACAACGUGUACUACUACGGCCAGGGGUACCCACCGCCGCCCCCCGCGGGCGCGUACGGCUACCCGGCGCAGCAGCCUCCCCCCGGCUACGCGUACCCGCCGCCGCCCGUCGACGCCGGGAGGAAGCAGGGAGGGCGCAUGGGAGCCGGCGCGGGUCUCGCCCUCGGCGCAGGCGCCGGCCUGGCCACCGGCGUCAUCGUCGGCUCGGCGCUCAGCUCCGGCUGCGGAGGCGGCUGCGGCGGCGGAUGCGGUGGCGGCUGCGGCGGUUGA